Molecule: ribosomal RNA, 609 nt
Filed under: Triticum aestivum (bread wheat)
Lineage: Eukaryota; Viridiplantae; Streptophyta; Magnoliopsida; Poales; Poaceae
Description: partial small subunit ribosomal RNA
Source: RNAcentral
AUGGAGGGAAAACAACAAUGGGACAUGGUGGACCCUGGAUUCAAGCUUUGCGUUCUAGUUCUGAAGAGAGCAGCAGGUAGACCAAGGAAGAGUCGAAUCAGACCUCGCAGCGAAGGAGGUGGACUUGGAGCGAGGAAGCGUAAGUGCACAAGGUGUGGUGGGUCUGGUCAUUUUGGUAAGUAUUGUGAUAACACAGUAGAUCCAGCGUUUGGAGAGAGUUUUGAUGAAGGCUUCGAUGAAAAUGUUGGCCAGCAGCCGGUUGCCUCAAUAGAUGAUGAAAAUGAUGGUCAACAGCCGGUUGCAUCAGAUGAGGAUUUUGACGAGGUUCCAAAUGAUGAUGGUCAACAGCCGCAUGAUUUUUACGAUGAUCCAAAAUAUCCUCCAAAUAAUGAUUCAAGUGAGGCUCCAAAUGGUGAUCCAAGUGAGGCUCCAUAUAGUGAUCAUGGUGAUCCAAGUGAGGCUCCAGAUGGUGAUCAUGGUGAUCCAAGUGAGGCUCCAAAUGAUGAUCCAAGUGAGGCUCCAAAUGGUGACCAACCUUCUGUUGUUGUGAGUUCUACUAGGUAUGUAAAUCUUGCAAGGGUCAAAUACUACUGUACAUUUAUCACUUGA